GUCCUAGCCGUAAACGAUGGCCACUAAGUAGGGGAUCUCCAAAGGGUUCCCUGCCGGAGCUAAUGUGUUAAGUGGCCCGCCUGGGGAGUAUGGUCGCAAGGCUGAAACUCAAAGGAAUUGACGGGGGCUCACACAAGCGGUGGAGCAUGUUGUUUAAUUCGAUGCAACGCGAAGAACCUUACCUGGGCUUGACAUGUAAGUGGUAUCAAACCGAAAGGGGCGAGACCUCCUUUGGAGGAGCUUACACAGGUAUUGCACGGCU
Molecule: ribosomal RNA, 262 nt
Filed under: uncultured bacterium
Lineage: Bacteria
Description: partial 16S ribosomal RNA
Rfam family: Bacterial small subunit ribosomal RNA
Source: RNAcentral